UACGGGGGGUGCGAGCGUUGUCCGGAAUCACUGGGCGUAAAGGGCGCGUAGGUGGUCUGGUAAGUCUGUGGUGAAAGCCCGGGGCUCAACCCCGGGUCUGCCAUGGAGACUGCGAGACUUGAGGACUGUAGAGGCUGGUAGAAUGCCGGGUGUAGCGGUGGAAUGCGUAGAGAUCCGGCAGAAGACCGGUGGCGAAGGCGGCCAGCUGGGCAGUUACUGACACUGAGGCGCGACAGCGUGGGGAGCAAACAGG
This 253-nucleotide ribosomal RNA is filed under the name uncultured bacterium. Its description in RNAcentral is "partial 16S ribosomal RNA". It matches the Rfam family "Bacterial small subunit ribosomal RNA", at positions 524 to 776 of the family's 1533-position model. The record is from RNAcentral.